Molecule: long non-coding RNA, 251 nt
Filed under: Mytilus galloprovincialis (Mediterranean mussel)
Lineage: Eukaryota; Metazoa; Mollusca; Bivalvia; Mytilida; Mytilidae
Source: RNAcentral
UUUUGGAAGAUUUAAUAGUUUUUCAUCAGCUGAACGUAAGUUAUAGUUUUGAUUAUCAGUAAAAUGAAAAUUUUCUUGUAAAUAGUUAGGAACCAUACCAUUUAAUGAUUUAAAUACAAGUAUUGCCCUUUGGUAUUGAAUGCGUUUUUCCACAUUUAACCAGUGUAAACUAUUAAACAAUAAACUGGAUGAUGUCAUUAUGUCAGCUUCUACUAUAACCCUAGCAGAUUUCUUUAAUAACUUAUUAAGUU